This 305-nucleotide ribosomal RNA is filed under the name uncultured bacterium. RNAcentral describes it as "bacterial SSU rRNA". It matches the Rfam family "Bacterial small subunit ribosomal RNA", at positions 335 to 637 of the family's 1533-position model. The record is from RNAcentral.
AUUCCUACGGGGGGCAGCAGUGAGGAAUAUUGGUCAAUGGGCUUACGCCUGAACCAGCCAAGUCGCGUGAGGGAAGACUGCCCUAUGGGUUGUAAACCUCUUUUGUCGGGGAGCAAAAGACGCCACGCGUGGCGUUCCGAGAGUACCCGAAGAAAAAGCAUCGGCUAACUCCGUGCCAGCAGCCGCGGUAAUACGGAGGAUCCGAGCGUUAUCCGGAUUUAUUGGGUUUAAAGGGAGUGUAGAUGGGUUGUUAAGUCAGUUGUGAAAGUUUGCGGCUCAACCGUAAAAUUGCCAUUGAUACUGGC